RNAcentral lists this ribosomal RNA (434 nucleotides) under uncultured Blautia sp. RNAcentral's name for it is "partial 16S ribosomal RNA". It matches the Rfam family "Bacterial small subunit ribosomal RNA", at positions 341 to 792 of the family's 1533-position model. The record is from RNAcentral. Lineage: Bacteria; Bacillati; Bacillota; Clostridia; Lachnospirales; Lachnospiraceae.
ACGGAAGGCAGCAGUGGGGAAUAUUGCACAAUGGGGGAAACCCUGAUGCAGCGACGCCGCGUGAAGGAAGAAGUAUCUCGGUAUGUAAACUUCUAUCAGCAGGGAAGAAAAUGACGGUACCUGACUAAGAAGCCCCGGCUAACUACGUGCCAGCAGCCGCGGUAAUACGUAGGGGGCAAGCGUUAUCCGGAUUUACUGGGUGUAAAGGGAGCGUAGACGGAAUUGCAAGUCUGAUGUGAAAGGCAUGGGCUCAACCUGUGGACUGCAUUGGAAACUGUGAUUCUUGAGUGCCGGAGGGGUAAGCGGAAUUCCUGGUGUAGCGGUGAAAUGCGUAGAUAUCAGGAGGAACACCGGUGGCGAAGGCGGCUUACUGGACGGCAACUGACGUUGAGGCUCGAAGGCGUGGGGAGCAGACAGGAUUAGAUACCCUGGUA